Molecule: ribosomal RNA, 465 nt
Filed under: uncultured bacterium
Lineage: Bacteria
Description: partial 16S ribosomal RNA
Rfam family: Bacterial small subunit ribosomal RNA
Source: RNAcentral
CCUACGGGAGGCAGCAGUGGGGAAUAUUGCGCAAUGGGCGCAAGCCUGACGCAGCGAUGCCGCGUGAGGGAUGAAGGUCUUCGGAUCGUAAACUUCUGUCAGCAGGGAAGAAGGGUCACUGUGCUAAUCAGCAGUGAAUUGACGGUACCUGCAAAGGAAGCACCGGCUAACUCCGUGCCAGCAGCCGCGGUAAUACGGAGGGUGCGAGCGUUAAUCGGAAUUACUGGGCGUAAAGCGCACGUAGGCGGUAUGUCAAGUCAAGGGUGAAAUCCCCGGGCUCAACGUGGGAACUGCCUUUGAAACUGGCAAGCUGGAGUGUGUGAGAGGAGAGUGGAAUUCCAGGUGUAGGAGUGAAAUCCGUAGAUAUCUGGAGGAACAUCAGUGGCGAAGGCGACUAUCUGGAACAUAACUGACGCUGAGGAGCGAAAGCGUGGGUAGCAAACAGGAUUAGAUACCCCUGUAGUC